UACGUAGGGGGCUAGCGUUGUCCGGAAUCAUUGGGCGUAAAGCGCGUGUAGGCGGUCCGGUAAGUCCGCUGUGAAAGUCGAGGGCUCAACCCUCGAAUGCCGGUGGAUACUGUCGGGCUUGAGUACGGGAGAGGCGAGUGGAAUUCCUGGUGUAGCGGUGAAAUGCGCAGAUAUCAGGAGGAACACCAACGGCGAAGGCAGCUCGCUGGGACGGUACUGACGCUGAGGCGCGAAAGCGUGGGGAGCAAACAGG
Molecule: ribosomal RNA, 253 nt
Filed under: uncultured bacterium
Lineage: Bacteria
Description: partial 16S ribosomal RNA
Rfam family: Bacterial small subunit ribosomal RNA
Source: RNAcentral